CCUCACAGCUGCCGUGCGCGGCGGGCGCCGGGGCGACCCGGGAGGUGCCGCCGUUCGCCUGGUCAGGGGUGACACAGCGAAGCGCGGCGGCUGUGUAACGGGACCGGGACCAUGCCCGCCUCACCGGGGGCGCCGGCACCGGACUGUGUCCCGCCGCCCCGUAAGGGGGCGCUGUGCGCCGCUCCUGCCGGGCCAGGCCGGAGGGGGCGGAGUCCGCAGGUGCAUUACCUUUCGCUUCCGGUGUAGGCCGGAAGUGGGAACCGCAAAGCUUCCGGGUUGUGGCCGCCCGCGGGGAUGGCGGGGCUGUCCCGCACGCUCGGUAUUUUCGGCGGCUUCGUGGCUGUGGUGGGGGCGGCCUUUUACCCCAUCUACUUCCGGCCGUUGCUGCUGCCGGAGGAGUACAAGAAAGAACAGUCGAUAAACCGAGCUGGUAUUGUUCAAGAGGAUAUUCAGCCUGCAGAUGCCAGCUUCCACACCAGAAAUUAACUUCUGAGCCAGCUCAGAGCAAACGAGCCAUGGGUGGGCAGAGAUUUAGCUGUAAAAAACACGCUGUUGCACCCUGGUUUUGUGGAAUACUGCUUUACAUCUCAGCUGAAACACAAUUUAUGAGCGCUUUCUCAGUAUCUUCCAGCUUCACAGGUGGAGAGGGUUAAAAGUGUGGUCUGAUCCAUUUGGAAGAAAGUAAUGUUGCCAGCUGGGUGUAUUGCAAGGCAAAACUGAAGAUGGACAUCUUCAGCUGUUUCUCCUUUCACUGAAGUGUGUCUUUGGGUGUCGCCGGAGAAGAAUUCUGAACAUGCUGUGUGGGCACGUGAGGAGCAACACACGCUACUGGUUGGAAUCCCAGGAGAUAAAAACAUGCUAGUUUUGACAGAGGAUGCACAGGCUGUUAGAGAGCUGAAUGACUCUUGAGUUUACAAGUGAAAUAUUUAUUUCCUUGAGAAAAGGGAAGAGGAAUUAUUUUUGUGGUUAAUCUGUAAACACUUGUAGAAUAAAUUAUGAAUAGAAUAAAUCAUGCAGACCGCUGCAGUUUCCUCCCUAGUAUGAGAAUUACUUUUUGUGGUUUUAUUAUGAAAACAUGAUAAAAUAUACACUGAGAGAGAUCAGUGCAGAAAAUAUGGUGAGUGUAAAUCUGUACAUUAAAAUUUCUUCCUUUUAAACCAAUGUGUAUUUUUUUCAUUUGUUUUGCUGUAGUUGUGGCUGGUUAACCUUGGUGAGCUGCCAGGUGCCCACCCAGCCACUCUCUCACUCCUGCUUCUCAACAGGACAGCAGGAGAAAAUAGAAUGACAAAGCUCGUGGGUCUGGAUAAACACAGGGAGAUUGCUUACCGGUUACUGUUGCAGGCAAAACAGACUCAACUUGGGGAAAAUUAAUGUAGUAUAUUGCCAAUUAAAAUAGAUUUGGAUAGAAACAAAAAUUAAAAUAACACCUUCCCAUUGCCUCCCUUUUUCCAGGAUCAACCUCACUCCUGAGUUCUCUAUUUCCUCCCCUCCCUAGUCCCCCUGAGUGGUGGAUGAGGGUUACGGUCAGUUUAUAACAGUUUCUCUGCUCCUUCCUUCUCACACUUUCCCCCUGCUCCUGUAUGGGCUCUUAAUGAGCUGCAAUUACUUCAAGAAAUACCCAACUGCUCUGGUGUGGGCUCCUCCCCAGGCUGUGGUGUGAAUAUCUGCUCUAACGUGGUCUUCUCCAUGGGCUCCAGGGAAAUCUCUGCUCCGGUGCACCUCCUUCCCCCUCCUUCUUUUCUGACUUUGGUGUUCAUACUGCUGUUCCUCACUUUUUUCCCCCCUCAUUCCUCUGCUUCGUUGGUGUUUUCACAAAGGUGUCACCCACUUGGCUGCUGGGCUGGGCUGUGUCCUGCAGUGGGUCCUUCGUGGAGCUGUCUGGAACUGUCUGUGGCUGACAUGGGGCAACUCCUGCAGCACACCUUCCUUGCUGCCAAAACCUUGACCGGUACAACUGAUACAGGAGGUUAACACGAAAUGUUGGAAUAGAAAGGCAGAUACUUUAAAUACUCUUUAUAAAAAAACACUUUUUCAUGGUGAUCGUAAUGAUCAUUCGAACAGGCAAGCAAAGGAUUGCCCCUACUGAAAAUCUUUACCCAAACUGGAUGUCGGUCUUAAUAAUAGCUUCUGAAUAAACUAUGUGUUUCCAGAUUUCAAAAUAAAGAAACAGUCUAUAAGCUAAGGAAUAUUGUUUUUGAGUACAGGUGUAGCAUGUACAUUUAGCUUUAAUGUACUAUCUUGAUUUAUUUUUAGCACUUCAUUAUGGUACACAACAUUUUAAAGACCAUUGCAGGAUCGUAUAUGUUAUGAAGAAUGUAUGUGCAGUGAGUGUUAUGAAGUUAGCAGAUGAUAGUUUGUUAUUUUUUUCGGACAUCACACAGUUAUUAAGAAAACAGAUGAAAGACUUGAUGUUUACGGUGUUCUUUUCCAAACUGCCAUUCUGUUACUUGCUAUUCCUUUUUUACCUGUCAUUGUCAUUCCCUUCCUGCUCAGACACAGGCUUCCACUUCUGAGUUCUGGUUUUUUUUUUUUAGUUUUCUAUUAUCUCAGUAAGCAUUACAAAUUUUUUUGUUUGCUUGCUGAGAAAAUGUGACCAUAUUUGAUUCCUUUGAGUUCUCAGGUGAUCUCACAUAAUGGCUGAAGUCAGAGUGAGUGUACGCAUUCACUGUAGGGUUGUUGACAGAAGUUUAACUACAUAGCACAGAGCAACAGUGUGACAAAGCUAAUUCAGUGUUUGCUAGGAAAAGAAGAAUCAAUUAAAUUGAAGAACAAAGGUUUUUAUUACUUAAACCUUUGUUCAAUGAGACUGCGGAAAUAAGAGCGCCUUGCUUUUUUGUGUUCUUGAACAAAACGUUAUAUUGAUACAUCAGACAGUUUCAGCCAAGUUGUUUCAUCUGAAAUACCUUUCCGGUGGAAAUUACAGCAUUGCUUAAAGAUACUCCAUCUGUAGCUGACUAGCUGGAAAACCAAGAGUUUUAGGAGAAACUGGGAGUUGUUCAAUAAUGCUGCUUCUGUCACUUGGUGACGCAUGCUUAAAAACAUACAUCCUGGUAGUGUGAAAUAAUUAUUAAACCACUCUUUCAGGAUAAAUGAUGUGACUGGAUAUUAAAUUACUUAGUUUGGAGUUAGGAGAUAAGACAAUCUCUGCUACUCAUUUACUUUGCGAAGUUGAGUAAUUUGAUGAGUAUGGAUCUUGUCUACCAACAUAUUAGAUGGUUUCAGAACAGUGGUUGUUGCUGGCAGGUGCUGAGCCUUUUGCCCUCAUAUUACUUAAACAUUGCAAAACAUUUGAGUACGUGAACUCAGUUAUUUAGCAUUUAUAGAACUGUACAUAUCUGUUGGUUGUGAUCUCUAGUGCAUUCUAGUGCAAAAAAGCUUGGUAAGUUUGGUAAUUGCAUGUACAGAAGUUGCAACAGUCCAUAUUUGUUGAACACUACUGAAGUGAAUCUAAACUCUGAAAAUGGUGUACGUUGGUUUUAAUGAUCGUCACUUCUCACUCGCUGUGUUCCACCUAAUAAAGUGGGCUGAUUGGCCAUGUCUUUUAAGUGUUAGGAUAGUGAAUGUCUUUUUCAAAUCUUUGGUAUUCUAUCUGGAUAAAACUGUUAAGUCAACGAGGAACAUACUGCAAUAAUUCUCCAGAAUUUACACUGAAAUUUUCUAGGAUUGCUCUGGCAUUUGCCAGUUGCCUGGAGACUCGCCCAAGACUCACGUGGGAAGUCCUAAUCCUGCAGCUGGCUUCCUGGGGUCUGUGACAAUGCUUUGUUCUGCUUGUGGACGCUGGACAUAAGCCUCUCCUAGCUACCCAGUAACAGGUGGAGUUGAGUAUAACAAAUUGUGCUCCCCACAACUCCUUCCUUAUCUUGCUCUGAAAGUAAGAGGUUCUGCUACUUUUGUAGCCUGCAACAACUAUUGUUUUUCAACACAAUCACACAAAGAUGUUAGAUGUGUUUAUAAUUAUGCAGAAUUUUAUAUAAUUAUUAGUACUUGGGAGGGAUUAGUCUGCCUUUUGCAGUUUUGGUCCACCUGUUCUGAUUGUUCUGAUAGAAAGGCUGGGACAAAACAUUUGAUAAAAAUGCCUUCUUAGAAUGUUUUUAAAACAAUUACAAUAUCUAUUCUGUAAUAUGAAUGCAUUUUGCUUAUUUAUUCUAGCUGGAAUAUGAACAGCAAAUACAACUUCAGCCUUUGGAGGACUGGAGAAAAGCUUUAAACUGUGCUUUGACAUCCCAACAGGAAGAUCUGGUUGUACUAAGUUUAGACCUGCUGUUGUAUGGUGAUAAGUUUUGAAAUUAUUAAAGCUUGUGCCAUGAAGAGCAAAUCUGGUAUUUUGGUCUAACGCAGCUUAGUUUUGAAGCAUUAUAGACUGUUGAUGAUGCAAUGAAACCCUCAAGCACAAACACUUCGGGAGGAGUAAAUAUGGCAAAAGAUAUUGCCAAGUUGUCAGAUUAUACACAAGCAAGAAAAUGGGAUUUUUCUUGUUGAAUAUUGUACUUAUUGAGAUUGUUCCCACUGAUGAAAGGAAAAUGUUUUUUCUGUAAUACUCAAAGCACAUUGAAUAGCCUCAACUGAUUGUGAAAAUUUUACUGUAUAUAUGCCCUCCCACAAAAAACAGUCCAGGAAAAGCAGUUCUCAUGACUUGCAGUUUUCUAAACUAAAAUAAAUCAUGUAUUUUCCGUUCUUGCAGUCUA
Grus americana (Whooping crane) is the source of this 4685-nucleotide RNA transcript. It is a transcript of the gene named small integral membrane protein 20, with no coding region annotated. The transcript is spliced from 4 exons. Lineage: Eukaryota; Metazoa; Chordata; Aves; Gruiformes; Gruidae. The record is from RefSeq and is a predicted model, not a curated record.